Molecule: non-coding RNA, 86 nt
Filed under: Oceanospirillum linum
Lineage: Bacteria; Pseudomonadati; Pseudomonadota; Gammaproteobacteria; Oceanospirillales; Oceanospirillaceae
Description: sRNA-Xcc1
Rfam family: sRNA-Xcc1
Source: Rfam by way of RNAcentral
GGUCGGGAGGGCGACGAAUAAAAUACCCGCAAGGGGAAUAAGUCCGCGGUCGUUACAGCCGUUCUCAACCUCCUGACCACCCACGU